CCGCGGUUAGUCGCGCACAUGGCACGUCGGGUCCACUUCCCGCGUGCACUUAUUUUCUCCGUCCGCACUUAUUUGUAGUUUUCCUUUUGUUUAAACGUUUUUCACGAGUUUUUCUUUGAUCUUCCCAUUUUCCAGCUAGGUCCGUUCAGCCUUGGGCCUUGAAGGAUGAAAAGAGCAACUACGGAAUUACCACUCCACGUGCAUCGACCUGAAGAUGGAAGUAUCAAUUUUUUAUCGAGUUUUCUUUCCUCGCUUUUAUUUUGUGACUGGUCAAUAAAACCUUGAGCCUGGAGCUAGGAAACAACGUAUGGAGAUAGCAGCCAUUUCUGCUUCGAGCGCGCCAUUGACUUAAGACAAGAAACAGAAAUCCUCUCGCCAGAAAAAAACCGAGAUCCUGCUGCCAAGUCCACCGCCGCACGCCUGUUCGAUGAAUGCCAGUAGUUGACUUGGUGGUAGCGGGAAUAAAGAAGAAAUGAGUGCGUCGUGCUUUGCUGAAAUAUGAAGUGACUUCGACUGCCACAUGACUGCGUGGGAUGCCGCAGAUAAG
Molecule: long non-coding RNA, 547 nt
Organism: Cimex lectularius (bed bug)
Lineage: Eukaryota; Metazoa; Arthropoda; Insecta; Hemiptera; Cimicidae
Exons: 4
Source: RefSeq, a predicted model, not a curated record